AUUGAACGCUGGCGGCAGGCCUAAAACAUGCAAGUCGAGCGGAGCGGCGGACGGGUGAGUAAUGCCUAGGAAUCUGCCUGGUAGUGGGGGAUAACGUCCGGAAACGGGCGCUAAUACCGCAUACUAUCAGAUGAGCCGAGGUCGGGUUAGCUAGUUGGUGGGGUAAAGGCCUACCAAGGCGACGAUCCGGAACUGGUCUGAGAGGAUGAUCAGGCACACUGGAACCUAUACGCGGUCCAGACCUCUGCUGGAGGGAGGAGUGGUGAAUUUUGGACCAUGGGCGAAAGCCUUAUCCAGCCAUGCCGCGUGUGUGAAGAAGGUCUUCGUAUUGUAAAGCACUUUAAGUUGUGAGGCGUUACCAACAGAAUAAGCACCGGCUAACUUCGUGCCAGCAGUCGCGGUAAUA
RNAcentral lists this ribosomal RNA (406 nucleotides) under uncultured bacterium. RNAcentral describes it as "partial 16S ribosomal RNA". It matches the Rfam family "Bacterial small subunit ribosomal RNA", at positions 30 to 525 of the family's 1533-position model. The record is from RNAcentral.